CUAUAAUGCAGUCGAGCGAACAGAAGGGAGCUUGCUCCCGGAUGUUAGCGGCGGACGGGUGAGUAACACGUGGGUAACCUGCCUGUAAGACUGGGAUAACUCCGGGAAACCGGAGCUAAUACCGGAUAGUUCCUUGAACCGCAUGGUUCAAGGAUGAAAGACGGUUUCGGCUGUCACUUACAGAUGGACCCGCGGCGCAUUAGCUAGUUGGUGGGGUAAUGGCUCACCAAGGCGACGAUGCGUAGCCGACCUGAGAGGGUGAUCGGCCACACUGGGACUGAGACACGGCCCAGACUCCUACGGGAGGCAGCAGUAGGGAAUCUUCCGCAAUGGACGAAAGUCUGACGGAGCAACGCCGCGUGAGUGAUGAAGGUUUUCGGAUCGUAAAGCUCUGUUGUUAGGGAAGAACAAGUGCGAGAGUAACUGCUCGCACCUUGACGGUACCUAACCAGAAAGCCACGGCUAACUACGUGCCAGCAGCCGCGGUAAUACGUAGGUGGCAAGCGUUGUCCGGAAUUAUUGGGCGUAAAGGGCUCGCAGGCGGUUUCUUAAGUCUGAUGUGAAAGCCCCCGGCUCAACCGGGGAGGGUCAUUGGAAACUGGGAAACUUGAGUGCAGAAGAGGAGAGUGGAAUUCCACGUGUAGCGGUGAAAUGCGUAGAGAUGUGGAGGAACACCAGUGGCGAAGGCGACUCUCUGGUCUGUAACUGACGCUGAGGAGCGAAAGCGUGGGGAGCGAACAGGAUUAGAUACCCUGGUAGUCCACGCCGUAAACGAUGAGUGCUAAGUGUUAGGGGGUUUCCGCCCCUUAGUGCUGCAGCUAACGCAUUAAGCACUCCGCCU
Molecule: ribosomal RNA, 841 nt
Filed under: Bacillus sp. B46-PCA-PT2P21
Lineage: Bacteria; Bacillati; Bacillota; Bacilli; Caryophanales; Bacillaceae
Description: bacterial SSU rRNA
Rfam family: Bacterial small subunit ribosomal RNA
Source: RNAcentral